Syzygium oleosum is the source of this 2025-nucleotide RNA transcript. RefSeq lists it as uncharacterized. The transcript is spliced from 3 exons. The record is from RefSeq and is a predicted model, not a curated record. Lineage: Eukaryota; Viridiplantae; Streptophyta; Magnoliopsida; Myrtales; Myrtaceae.
CCGAUGUGGCAAAUGCAACGGAAUCGGGCCACUGUUUAUAGGCCUAGGCCCGUUUGGAAAGCCCAAUACAGCUCCCCGUCAGGCCCAACCCCCAAAAGGGCACGUGCUCGAACCGAUCCCAUUUUAGCGACGGCAAUCUAGGAUCUCUGCCCCGAGCCUCGUGGACGAUGAUUGGUCGUUUCAUUACCAGAAAAACGACCGGCGGAACGAUUCCGGUCGCGCAGCACUACCUCGCUCUCUGACUCUGUCCCUUCGAAGCUCUCCAUCAUCAUCUCGCAAUCGCGAGUAGAAGAUUCUCUCGCCCCCUUUUCGCAAUUCCCAGGGGGUUCUUUUUCUUCCGGCGGGAGUUCUUGGUUCGGUUUGGCGAGAGAUGUUUGGACCAGAUGGGGGUCCGUCGGAGCCGCGGCAGGUUCUUGAUUCCGCGAGCUCGUGCUGCUCUUCGGAGCCCCACGCGGGUCGUUCCAGACCGUGGUCGAUGGUCGUCAUCCGAGAGCCUGCCGUCGACGGCGACCCAGAUGGCAAAGGCGGGUUCUUGAGCGUGUUUCCUCCGAGCAACCAUGAGAAUCUGCACGUCCCCUCCGGACCCUGUGGAGAAGAGCGAAGCCCAUCUCCUGUUUUGCCUCCCUCCGCCGAUUCACUAUCCUCCCCUUCGCAAUUCUUCACUUCGUCGUCGUCGUCGUCGUCGUCCUCUUCUUCUCCUUCUUCGUGUUCGUCGUCCGACGUUGAUGAGGAGCUCCGAGAGGAGCCGCGGCCGCCGUCGGAUCCGGCGGCCCAGGUCCGAGAACCGGGUCGAGCCGCGGGCUUGCUGGGAUUCGGGUUUAGAGUGUUGGGUUCGAAGGUUCGUGGUGCUGUGAGCUCCUUCUUUGGCCGUAGCUCAGCGAGGGGAGGAUUGGUUUGGUUGUCUGUUGCUUCGGCGGCGGUGGUGCUGUGGUGGGUGUACGCGCGAUUUCGUUUGCUGCGCCUGAGGCACAGAGAGAGGGUGGAUGGUUUGAUGCGCGUGGUUAAAGAGCGAGACGAGAAAAUCGCCCAUCUCCUACAUCAAAUUGCUCAAAUGAAUGAGGUGUUGCUGUCGCGGCACAAAGUUUUGAGUUCCAAAUUGCCCGGAUGAGUAUGAAUCGGGACCUAUGGACACCAUUGUGGAGUAUGCAUCUUUUAUAAUCAACAUUCUUUUGUCUCAAGCAGGGCCAAACUUGCUGAAUUUAGUUGCUUCUCGCCUCCAAGCCCUCAGAACUGGAUGAUAAUUGCAGUAGUGCUUCCCUUUACAAGAUUGUGACUCCAAGCCCUCCGAACUGGAUGAUGAUUGCAGUAGUGCUUCCCUUUACAAGAUUGUGACACCAGAGGUUUAGAAGAACAUCGAGAAGGGAUCGCGGAUUUAGGCUUUGGAUAAGAUGUCUAGUCUUUGGAGCCUCGCAAUGGGUACACGUGCUUGGGGUCUACGCUGCUCAAGGCAUGCGGCUUGAAAAGGUUUCUAUUAAAGAACCAACACGGUUUUUCCACUACCUUGCAAUGCAAAAAUGUGGAAGAAAACUUUGUGGUAGGUAAGAUGUCGCAUUCGUUUUGCUGCUUCCAUAAGAAAAGGGGGGGAAAGAAAGGCACUUCAAUGGAGAAUCGGAUGGGUCAUCUGUAUUUUAAGGACUCUCUCUCCUUUGCUGAACAAAGUGGUCCCUCAUUUAAUCCUUUUUACCUAAAUGAGCCCACGAGACAGAAAUGUGUGGUUUAUUGAAAGUCCAUGAAGCCACCAACAAACAUUGAUCCCCAGUGAAGAGAACGACAACACUGUUUCAUUAAUCGCGUGUGACUUCGCACGAAAAAAAGUCGAAUUAAUUGCGCGUCCUGCAGAGGUGCUGCUCGAUCAAGACUUAAAGAUUUUGUUAACGAGUGCCGAUCUUGUCUAAUUAGAAAUUGGCGAUCUUGUAAGCAUUGAGUGUUUGUACCAGUUAAAAAGUGACAUAUCGAAAAUUACAAGCUUGUCGGCAUGAUGGCUAUAUCUGUUAUCUAACAAAGUCCUUGUCAAUCCCAGGAAAG